AUAACAUUGGUUGUCUUUACUCACUACUAUUUUUAUACAUUUCUCUCCAUGACUCUCUGAUUCUCUCUCAGAAAGCGAUUUCCAAGUACGACCAUUGCUGGUACGUCAACUUAAGAUGAGGCAAAAUUACUUCUCAAAACACCCGGCUAAUAUUAUUGUUACAAGGUUACAGAAUGAGCAGCUACAAACCAGGCAAUGAGAAAAUGGACCAAAUCAACAAAAGGUUGUCAAGCCGAUACUUCUACGCGUAUCAGUGAUAGAUCCAAAUCUGCAAGAGUUGCCAGCAGCGUGAGGGAUGUACACGUCUUGAAGACAAGUAGAUGUUUUCAAACAUGGUUCUGCGAUUUGUCGUAUGUCAAGCUGGAAUUCAGAGUGGUUUAA
Molecule: long non-coding RNA, 381 nt
Filed under: Phasianus colchicus (ring-necked pheasant)
Lineage: Eukaryota; Metazoa; Chordata; Aves; Galliformes; Phasianidae
Description: lncRNA (ENSPCLG00000012782.1)
Source: RNAcentral